RNAcentral lists this ribosomal RNA (252 nucleotides) under uncultured bacterium. Its description in RNAcentral is "partial 16S ribosomal RNA". It matches the Rfam family "Bacterial small subunit ribosomal RNA", at positions 524 to 776 of the family's 1533-position model. The record is from RNAcentral.
UACGUAUGGACCGAGCGUUGUCCGGAAUCAUUGGGCGUAAAGGGUACGUAGGCGGUCUAGUAAGUUAGAAGUGAAAGGCUAUAGCUCAACUAUAGUAAGCUUUUAAAACUGUUUAACUUGAGAGAUGGAAGGGAAAGUGGAAUUCCUAGUGUAGCGGUGAAAUGCGCAGAUAUUAGGAGGAAUACCAGUGGCGAAGGCGACUUUCUGGCAAUCAUCAGACGCUGAGGUACGAAAGCGUGGGUAGCAAACAGG